GAUGAACGCUGGCGGCGUGCCUAAUACAUGCAAGUCGAGCGAACAGACGAGGAGCUUGCUCCUCUGACGUUAGCGGCGGACGGGUGAGUAACACGUGGAUAACCUACCUAUAAGACUGGGAUAACUUCGGGAAACCGUAGCUAAUACCGGAUAAUAUAUUGAACCGCAUGGUUCAAUAGUGAAAGACGGUUUUGCUGUCACUUAUAGAUGGAUCCGCGCCGCAUUAGCUAGUUGGUAAGGUAACGGCUUACCAAGGCAACGAUGCGUAGCCGACCUGAGAGGGUGAUCGGCCACACUGGAACUGAGACACGGUCCAGACUCCUACGGGAGGCAGAAGUAGGGAAUCUUCCGCAAAGGGCGAAAGCCUGACGGAGCAACGCCGCGUGAGUGAUGAAGGUCUUCGGAUCGUAAAACUCUGUUAUUAGGGAAGAACAAAUGUGUAAGUAACUAUGCACGUCUUGACGGUACCUAAUCAGAAAGCCACGGCUAACUACGUG
Molecule: ribosomal RNA, 497 nt
Filed under: uncultured bacterium
Lineage: Bacteria
Description: partial 16S ribosomal RNA
Rfam family: Bacterial small subunit ribosomal RNA
Source: RNAcentral